This 58-nucleotide transfer RNA is filed under the name Macrogyrodactylus karibae. RNAcentral's name for it is "tRNA-Ser". The record is from RNAcentral. Lineage: Eukaryota; Metazoa; Platyhelminthes; Monogenea; Gyrodactylidea; Gyrodactylidae.
GUACCAGAUUAAUACUUGGUUUGAAGCCAGGUUCACUAGUAUUUUACUAGCUGUUACU